GGAUGUGAGGGCGAUCUGGCUGCAAUAUCUGUCACCCCAUUGAUCACCAGGGUAGAUUCAGCUGAUCUGGCUGGCAAGGUAGGUGUCCCCUUCCUCCCUCAACGCUCCAUGUGCGUCCCUCCCAAAGCUGCACGCCCGCUCAAAGAAGAUGACCUUCCCAAUAGAGGAGGACCAUUCUUCAGUCAGGGUAUACGAGUAGCUGCGUUCCCCUGCUAGAACCUCCAAACAAGCUUUCAAGAAAGUUCCAUUUCUACUCCAUUUCCUGAUUUUAUAACUGGAACUGUUACAGGACAGAAUGCCAGAAAGAAGACACCAGUCCUAUUCCUAUGUGAUCUUGGUAAGUCAUUUAACUACCCUGG
RNAcentral lists this small nuclear RNA (359 nucleotides) under Prolemur simus (greater bamboo lemur). Its description in RNAcentral is "7SK RNA (ENSPSMG00000001401.1)". It matches the Rfam family "7SK RNA". Rfam says of the family: 7SK was discovered as an abundant small nuclear RNA in the mid-70s but a possible function has only recently been suggested. The record is from Rfam by way of RNAcentral. Lineage: Eukaryota; Metazoa; Chordata; Mammalia; Primates; Lemuridae.